AGUGAACGCUGGCGGUAGGCCUAACACAUGCAAGUCGAACGGCAGCACAGUAAGAGCUUGCUCUUACGGGUGGCGAGUGGCGGACGGGUGAGGAAUACAUCGGAAUCUACUUUUUCGUGGGGGAUAACGUAGGGAAACUUACGCUAAUACCGCAUACGACCUACGGGUGAAAGCAGGGGAUCUUCGGACCUUGCGCGAUUGAAUGAGCCGAUGUCGGAUUAGCUAGUUGGCGGGGUAAAGGCCCACCAAGGCGACGAUCCGUAGCUGGUCUGAGAGGAUGAUCAGCCACACUGGACAUGAGACACGGUCCCGACUCCUACGGGAGGCAGCAGUGGGGAAUAUUGGACAGUGGGCGCAAGCCUGAUCCAGCCAUACCGCGUGGGUGAAGAAGGCCUUCGGGUUGUAAAGCCCUUUUGUUGGGAAAGAAAAGCAGCAGGUUAAUACCCCGCUGUUCUGACGGUACCCAAAGAAUAAGCACCGGCUAACUGCGU
RNAcentral lists this ribosomal RNA (491 nucleotides) under uncultured bacterium. RNAcentral describes it as "partial 16S ribosomal RNA". It matches the Rfam family "Bacterial small subunit ribosomal RNA", at positions 29 to 506 of the family's 1533-position model. The record is from RNAcentral.